Molecule: ribosomal RNA, 484 nt
Filed under: uncultured bacterium
Lineage: Bacteria
Description: partial 16S ribosomal RNA
Rfam family: Bacterial small subunit ribosomal RNA
Source: RNAcentral
AUUGAACGCUGGCGGCAGGCCUAACACAUACAAGUCGAGCGGAUGAAGGGAGCUUGCUCCUGGAUUCAGCGGCGGACGGGUGAGUAAUACCUAGGAAUCUGCCUGGUAGUGGGGGAUAACGUCCGGAAACGGGCGCUAAUACCGCAUACGUCCUGAGGGAGAAAGUGGGGGAUCUUCGGACCUCACGCUAUCAGAUGAGCCUAGGUCGGAUUAGCUAGUUGGUGGGGUAAAGGCCUACCAAGGCGACGAUCCGUAACUGGUCUGAGAGGAUGAUCAGUCACACUGGAACUGAGACACGGUCCAGACUCCUACGGGAGGCAGCAGUGGGGAAUAUUGGACAAUGGGCGAAAGCCUGAUCCAGCCAUGCCGCGUGUGUGAAGAAGGUCUUCGGAUUGUAAAGCACUUUAAGUUGGGAGGAAGGGCAGUAAGUUAAUACCUUGCUGUUUUGACGUUACCAACAGAAUAAGCACCGGCUAACUUCGUG